GGAUCAACGCUGGCGGCGCGCCUAAUGCAUGCAAGUCGGACGGGGUCGGCUUCGGUCGGCUCACGUGGCGGACGGGCGAGGAACACGUGGGCAACCUGCCCUGGGGCGGGGGGUAGCCCUCGGAAACGAGGGGUAAUUCCGCGUACGCUCGCAUCCCGGUGGGGGAUGGGAGGAAAGGCGAAAGCCACCCUAGGAGGGGCCUGCGGCGGAUUAUGCUGGUUGGCGGGGUAACGGCCCACCAAGGCGGUGAUCCGUAGCUGGUCUGAGAGGACGGCCAGCCGCAGGGGGACUGAG
This 294-nucleotide ribosomal RNA is filed under the name uncultured bacterium. RNAcentral describes it as "partial 16S ribosomal RNA". It matches the Rfam family "Bacterial small subunit ribosomal RNA", at positions 27 to 323 of the family's 1533-position model. The record is from RNAcentral.